GUUUCACUCUUGAGAGGCAUCAAAGUGACUCUUCUGAAGAUUGAAGGGCUUCAUCUCUCCCCACAGCAGAAAAGGAGCAGGAAACAUCAGGAAUAUCCAGCCUCCUUUGGAGUGGGGUCCUUAACAGGAGCAUCUGCCCCAGGGAUACUAUUGACAGACAGCAGUGUGGGCAUCUGUUCCAGACUGGCAGUCUCCAUAGAAUGCUGGGAGAAUUUCUGCUGCUCCUUCCUGCCUCCUUCUCCAGUGCUUGCAUGGGUGUUUCUUAUCUUGCUACAUUCACUGAAAUCACAAGGCAAUUCCAUGGAAAUUCAAAGCUGAACACCACAAUGGGAAGGGUGUUGGAAAAAUUAAUUCAGGAGCCUUGGGCCUAGCUGGCUGCAUUCCUGCUGCUGGGACGGGCAAUCGUCAGGUAGAAAAAACAGGCAUGUCCUCUGCUGUAAAAUAAAUCACAAACAGAGAAUACCAUCAGACAUAUCAAAAGGUUUUACUCUUAGCGUAGGUGUUUAAGAUGGAGGUGAACCAUCAGUACACCAUGGCCAAAGAUCUGAAAAUGUGACCUAGCAGAUAGUUAGAAAUUAGGCAUCACACUUAAGCACCAGCUGAGGGACCAAACAUUCUCCAGAAGAAUGUCUGCCUGUAGGAGCCAGUAACUUGAAGGAGAAGGUGCCACUAGAGGGACCACUGAUCUGAUCUCUCUGAAGAAACACAGGAAUCUCUGCACUGCCAAAAGUUAUCUGGGUGGGAUCAUGGUGCCUUUCUUGAUGUGAGUUUCACUGGUGAAGACAUCUGAGCAACCAGGCAGUCCCACCUCACCUCUAUCUACCCAUCCCUGUUUCACAGCACUGUGAUAAGGGGCACAGAGCAUGCUACACAUUUCUCAGGGGCUAGAAGAAAACUUAGAACAACUUUUCCUCUCUUUUUCAUCAAGGACAGAAGAGGACAUUUUGCACUACACUGCAGCUGAAAACCUAAAUACUGGAUAAAAGAAAAUCUUUAACUAGCCUAAAAUGAAGAGUUCAGGCAAUGGAAUAAAACACCAGAAAGAGCUCAUGUAAUCGAAGAAAUAAUAUUCAGGGCAGGAUGUGAUACCCAAUUAUUUGGGAUGGAAAAAGUCUGUGAAGUCAAUCCUGUCACAAUGCAGGGGGGUGGAAUAGCUGUCCAGAGGCUUGCAGCCUUAAUAAAUGUGUAUAGGAGAAUACUGAAUCAGCAGUUAAAGGAGACACCAAAACUGCAAACACAGAACUGUGAUAUUAAAGGACAGAGACAACGCUCUAUUUACAAUAAAAUAAACAUCGUUUACACAUGUGUUACCCAUUUAAGUGAGGAGAUCGGAAAUGGAAGCAGGCACUGUCAGGUUACAUUUACAAGAGAUGUAUUUGAUUUCAACAUGCUUUGAUUGAGACCCCUGCUACUUUCCUUUUGAAAAUUGUAGAGUAAAAUGUGCUGGUGAAUUGUAAAGGUUUCAUCCUCCUUGAUGUAUUUUUAUUGAACACGACUUGUAGGCUUCAAAUUUUAAUACUCUGUCCCUAGACUGCUGUCACUCACCAUAUCACACUUCUCAAUUCACAAGGGUUAGAGUUUGGGGGAAAAUGGCCCAAACAUAACCAUUGGGACACUUUGUUUAUCACAGGGAUAUAUUGUCAAAAUGUAAAUUUAUAUUUUAUAAUUCCAAUGGGAAAUAAAAACCUGGCAUUUAAAAGCAAAAACACACAAAAAAAAUUUUUUUUCCCUUCCUCACUAACUGCCAUGCUCUAUCAGAAAACAAAAGUAUUUCCUGAUUAUAUUGCAUUUAUUUCCCAAGUGCUUGCUUCUCCUUCAUAGGAAGUUUUUCAUCAGGGUUUCAGAAUAAUGCCAUGCUUUUCUUUCCUCCCUAAGACUUCCAGUGUUCAAACUUACAGAUGGCAGCAUCCUUCUCAGACAUCAUUUUCAUUGCUACAAACUUCUGUGCCUCUGGAGUAGGCCACCUUAUGGUUCUGAUAUGCCACUAAUGAGUCUCCCAUCUCUUCAGCAGUAAACAGUCUUUUUGCUAGUCAAUAUUUGUGCUGCAUUGUGCACACAAAACCCUGUGAAUCUUGCCCCCACUAGUGCGCACAUUUUAUGGAUAUAAAUGCAUUUUUCUGUUGUUGCCUUCCAGAGACUCAGGAUUACUGGACUUUUUUGUGUAUUCACAACAUCUUGUGUGCUUAGAUCAUAAAUUUUCCAUGAAAAAUGUAUGCUUGUGGUAGUGGGCAAUCUAUCUGUAUUACUAAUUCAGUAUCUCUGGAGCAAAAACUAAAUAUAUUGACUUUUGUCUAGUUAGUUGUGCUUGGUCCUUGUGAUUCUACUUAGAAUAAAACAGAGAUCGACGUCA
This is a non-coding RNA of Taeniopygia guttata (zebra finch), 2350 nucleotides long. The record is from RefSeq and is a predicted model, not a curated record. NCBI's taxonomy places the organism in Eukaryota, Metazoa, Chordata, Aves, Passeriformes, Estrildidae.